This 483-nucleotide ribosomal RNA is filed under the name uncultured bacterium. RNAcentral's name for it is "partial 16S ribosomal RNA". It matches the Rfam family "Bacterial small subunit ribosomal RNA", at positions 28 to 507 of the family's 1533-position model. The record is from RNAcentral.
GACGAACGCUGGCGGCGUGCCUAACACAUGCAAGUCGAGCGGGGAUUUAAGUGGAAGUUCUUCGGAAUGGAGGUUUAAAUUCUAGCGGCGGACGGGUGAGUAACGCGUGAACAAUCUGUCACGUACAGGGGGAUAACACUUGGAAACAGGUGCUAAUACCGCAUCAGACCACGGCCUCGCAUGUGGCUGAGGUAAAAGGAGCAAUCCGGUUCGGGGUGAGUUCGCGUCCGAUUAGCUAGUUGGUGAGGUAACGGCCCACCAAGGCGACGAUCGGUAGCCGGCCUGAGAGGGUGAACGGCCACAUUGGAACUGAGAGACGGUCCAAACUCCUACGGGAGGCAGCAGUGGGGAAUAUUGGGCAAUGGGCGAAAGCCUGACCCAGCAACGCCGCGUGAGGGAAGAAGGUUUUCGGAUUGUAAACCUCUGUCCUAUGGGACGAAGGAAGUGACGGUACCAUAGGAGGAAGCCCCGGCUAACUACGUG